AGCAGCCGCGGUAAUUCCAGCUCCAAUAGCGUAUAUUAAAGUUGUUGCAGUUAAAAGCUCGUAGUUGAAUUUCGGGAUCAAUUAAUUAGCCGUGCCUAUGGUACGUACUGAUUUUAUUGGUUUCUCCCUUCUGACGAACCAUGAUGUCAUUAAUUUGGUGUCGUGGAGAAUCAGGACUGUUACUUUGAAAAAUUAGAGUGUUUAAAGCAGGCUAACGCUUGAAUACAUUAGCAUGGAAUAAUGAAAUAGGACGUUUGAUCCUAUUUUGUGGUUUCUAGGAUCGACGUAAUGAUUAAUAGGGAUAGUUGGGGGCAUUAGUAUUCAAUUGUCAGAGGUGAAAUUCUUGGAUUUAUUGAAGACUAACUACUGCGAAAGCAUUUGCCAAGGAUGUUUC
RNAcentral lists this unclassified non-coding RNA (394 nucleotides) under uncultured Paraglomus. Its description in RNAcentral is "SSU rRNA". It matches the Rfam family "Eukaryotic small subunit ribosomal RNA", at positions 569 to 970 of the family's 1831-position model. The record is from RNAcentral. Lineage: Eukaryota; Fungi; Glomeromycota; Glomeromycetes; Paraglomerales; Paraglomeraceae.